UGGGGAAUAUUGCACAAUGGGCGGAAGCCUGAUGCAGCGACGCCGCGUGGGGGAUGACGGCCUUCGGGUUGUAAACCUCUUUCGCUAGGGACGAAGCGUUUGUGACGGUACCUAGAGAAGAAGCACCGGCUAACUACGUGCCAGCAGCCGCGGUAAUACGUAGGGUGCGAGCGUUGUCCGGAAUUACUGGGCGUAAAGAGCUCGUAGGUGGUUUGUCGCGUCGUUUGUGAAAUUCCGGGGCUUAACUCCGGGGUGGCAGGCGAUACGGGCAUAACUUGAGUGCUGUAGGGGAGACUGGAAUUCCUGGUGUAGCGGUGGAAUGCGCAGAUAUCAGGAGGAACACCGAUGGCGAAGGCAGGUCUCUGGGCAGCUACUGACGCUGAGGAGCGAAAGCAUGGGUAGCGAACAGG
Molecule: ribosomal RNA, 410 nt
Filed under: uncultured Corynebacterium sp.
Lineage: Bacteria; Bacillati; Actinomycetota; Actinomycetes; Mycobacteriales; Corynebacteriaceae
Description: bacterial SSU rRNA
Rfam family: Bacterial small subunit ribosomal RNA
Source: RNAcentral